AAUUAGACCAUAAUAAUGUUAAGCAAGCUUUAAUCAAAUUCAAAGAAACCUCAAAGAAAUUUCAAAGAAAUAAUAAAAAAUCUUAAAAAAUUAUUAGAAUCAUCACAAAUAUAUCUCAAAUACAUCUCAAUUCAAUCUUAAUUUAAUCCUAGUUAAAAUCCUAUUAGACUUCAUUCAAACUUUAGGCCAAAACUAAUUAAAUCUUAAACCCUAAACAAAUCCUAAUAAAAUCCUAAAUCCUAAAUCAAACCCUAAAUCCUAAAUCCAAAACUAAAUCCUAACCAAAUCCUAAACCAAAUUCUAUCCAAACCCUAAACCAAACCCUAACCAAACCCUAAACAAAUCUUAAACUAAAUCCCAAUCAAAUUCUAAAUCCUAAAUCAAACCCUAAUCAAAUCCUAAAUCCUAAAUAAAACCCUAAUCAAACUCUAAAUCCUAAACCAAAUCUUAACAAAAUCCUAAACAAACCUUAAACCUAAUCCCAACCAAAUCCUAAAUCAAAUCCUAAACCCUAAACCAAACCCUAACCAAAUCCUAAACAAAUCCUAGUAGUUUUUAUAACUGAAUUAAACCUCAAUAACUAAUGAAUAAAUCAUCGAUCUUAACUCAAAUUUUGCACAAUUCUUAAAAAAUAAGUUGAAAACAAGCACAAAAAGUUUUAAAAGGAUCGAAAUUAUCAAAUAGACGAUAACCUCAAAAAUGUGCUUGGGUAUUGGCCGGCCUCCUUCUCCAACCUUGAUGCUAAUCUUCCAGAGCCAAUAUCUUUUCUUUUCACCAUUCGAUUGAUCUCAAAAUUCUCAUAUACAUAGAAAAAUAAGUCUAUUAUCCUCUAAUACAAAUUUCACUCUAAUC
Molecule: long non-coding RNA, 852 nt
Filed under: Physcomitrium patens
Lineage: Eukaryota; Viridiplantae; Streptophyta; Bryopsida; Funariales; Funariaceae
Description: long non-coding RNA (PPAT_LNC005517)
Source: RNAcentral